This 74-nucleotide transfer RNA is filed under the name Fidelibacterota bacterium. Its description in RNAcentral is "tRNA-Val". It matches the Rfam family "tRNA". Rfam says of the family: Transfer RNA (tRNA) molecules are approximately 80 nucleotides in length. Their secondary structure includes four short double-helical elements and three loops (D, anti-codon, and T loops). Lineage: Bacteria; Pseudomonadati; Fidelibacterota. The record is from RNAcentral.
GGGUGAUUAGCUCAGUUGGUUAGAGCGCUUGCUCGACACGCAAGAGGUCAACGGUUCGAAUCCGUUAUCGCCCA